CAGUUUCCUUCUCCUCUUUACUGUGUUUACUAGGCCCAGACCAGUUUCCUUCUCCUCUUUACUGUGUUUACUAGGCCCAGACCAGUUUCCUUCUCCUCUUUACUACGUUUACUAGGUCCAGACCAGUUUCCUUCUCCUCUUUACUACGUUUACUAGGUCCAGACCAGUUUCCUUCUCCUCUUUACUACGUUUACUAGGCCCAGACCAGUUUCCUUCUCCUCUUUACUACGUUUACUAGGCCCAGACCAGUUUCCUUCUCCUCUUUACUACGUUUACUAGGCCCAGACCAGUUUCCUUCUCCUCUUUACUACGUUUACUAGGUCCAGACCAGUUUCCUUCUCCUCUUUACUACGUUUACUAGGUCCAGACCAGUUUCCUUCUCCUCUUUACUACGUUUACUAGGUCCAGACCAGUUUCCUUCUCCUCUUUACUACGUUUACUAGGUCCAGACCAGUUUCCUUCUCCUCUUUACUACGUUUACUAGGUCCAGACCAGUUUCCUUCUCCUCUUUACUAUGUUUACUAGGUCCAGACCAGUUUCCUUCUCCUCUUUACUACGUUUACUAGGCCCAGACCAGUUUCCUUCUCCUCUUUACUACGUUUACUAGGCCCAGACCAGUUUCCUUCUCCUCUUUACUACGUUUACUAGGUCCAGACCAGUUUCCUUCUCCUCUUUACUGUGUUUACUAGGCCCAGACCAGUUUCCUUCUCCUCUUUACUAUGUUUACUAGGUCCAGACCAGUUUCCUUCUCCUCUUUACUGUGUUUACUAGGCCCAGACCAGUUUCCUUCUCCUCUUUACUGUGUUUACUAGACCCAAACCAGUUUCCUUCUCCUCUGUACCAUGUUUACUAGGUCCAGACCAGUUUCCUUAUCCUCUUUACUGUGUUUACUAGGUCCAGACCAGUUUCCUUCUCCUCUUUACUGUGUUUACUAGGUCCAGACCAGUCUCCUUCUCCUCUUUACUGUGUUUACUAGGUCCAGACCAGUUUCCUUCUCCUCUUUACUGUGUUUACUAGGUCCAGACCAGUCUCCUUCUCCUCUUUACUGUGUUUACUAGGUCCAGACCAGUACAGGGCUGGAGUUUCCGUCUCCUCUUUACUGUGUUUACUAGACCCAGACCAGUUUCCUUCUCCUCUGUACUAUGUUUACUAGGCCCAGACCAGUUUCCUUCUCCUCUGUACUAUGUUUACUAGGUCCAGACCAGUUUCCUUCUCCUCUUUACUGUGUUUACUAGGCCCAGACCAGUUUCCUUCUCCUCUGUACUAUGAUUACUAGGUCCAGACCAGUUUCCUUCUCAUCUUUACUGUGUUUACUAGGCCCAGACCAGUUUCCUUCUACUCUUUACUGUGUUUACUAGGUCCAGACCAGUCUCCUUCUCAUCUUUACUGUGUUUACUAGGCCCAGACCAGUUUCCUUCUACUCUUUACUGUGUUUACUAGGUCCAGACCAGUCUCCUUCUCCUCUUUACUGUGUUUACUAGGCCCAGACCAGUCUCCUUCUCCUCUUUACUGUGUUUACUAGGCCCAGACCAGUUUCCUUCUCCUCUUUACUGUGUUUACUAGGUCCAGAACAGUACAGGGCUGGAGUCUCCUUCUCCUCUUUACUGUGUUUACUAGGUCCAGACCAGUUUCCUUCUCCUCUUUACUGUGUUUACUAGGCCUAGACCAGUUUCCUUCUCCUCUUUACUGUGUUUACUAGGCCCAGACCAGUUUCCUUCUCCUCUUUACUAUGUUUACUAGGUCCAGACCAGUUUCCUUCUCCUCUUUACUGUGUUUACUAGGCCUAGACCAGUUUCCUUCUCCUCUUUACUGUGUUUACUAGGCCCAGACCAGUUUCCUUCUCCUCUUUACUACGUUUACUAGGCCCAGAUCAGUUUCCUUCUCCUCUUUACUACGUUUACUAGGUCCAGACCAGUUUCCUUCUCCUCUUUACUACGUUUACAAGGUCCAGACCAGUUUCCUUCUCCUCUUUACUAUGUUUACUAGGUCCAGACCAGUUUCCUUCUCCAGUUUACUGUGUUUACUAGGUCCAGACCAGUACAGGACUGGAGUCUCCUUCUCCUCUUCACUGUGUUUACUAGACCCAGACCAGUUUCC
This is a long non-coding RNA of Oncorhynchus keta (chum salmon), 2097 nucleotides long. RefSeq lists it as uncharacterized. The transcript has 3 exons. NCBI's taxonomy places the organism in Eukaryota, Metazoa, Chordata, Actinopteri, Salmoniformes, Salmonidae. The record is from RefSeq and is a predicted model, not a curated record.